GGUUAAGCGACUAAGCGUACACGGUGGAUGCCCUGGCAGUCAGAGGCGAUGAAGGACGUGCUAAUCUGCGAUAAGCGUCGGUAAGGUGAUAUGAACCGUUAUAACCGGCGAUUUCCGAAUGGGGAAACCCAGUGUGUUUCGACACACUAUCAUUAACUGAAUCCAUAGGUUAAUGAGGCGAACCGGGGGAACUGAAACAUCUAAGUACCCCGAGGAAAAGAAAUCAACCGAGAUUCCCCCAGUAGCGGCGAGCGAACGGGGAGGAGCCCAGAGCCUGAAUCAGUGUGUGUGUUAGUGGAAGCGUCUGGAAAGGCGCGCGAUACAGGGUGACAGCCCCGUACACAAAAAUGCACAUACUGUGAGCUCGAUGAGUAGGGCGGGACACGUGGUAUCCUGUCUGAAUAUGGGGGGACCAUCCUCCAAGGCUAAAUACUCCUGACUGACCGAUAGUGAACCAGUACCGUGAGGGAAAGGCGAAAAGAACCCCGGCGAGGGGAGUGAAAAAGAACCUGAAACCGUGUACGUACAAGCAGUGGGAGCACGCUUCGGCGUGUGACUGCGUACCUUUUGUAUAAUGGGUCAGCGACUUAUAUUCUGUAGCAAGGUUAACCGAAUAGGGGAGCCGAAGGGAAACCGAGUCUUAACUGGGCGUUAAGUUGCAGGGUAUAGACCCGAAACCCGGUGAUCUAGCCAUGGGCAGGUUGAAGGUUGGGUAACACUAACUGGAGGACCGAACCGACUAAUGUUGAAAAAUUAGCGGAUGACUUGUGGCUGGGGGUGAAAGGCCAAUCAAACCGGGAGAUAGCUGGUUCUCCCCGAAAGCUAUUUAGGUAGCGCCUCGUGAAUUCAUCUCCGGGGGUAGAGCACUGUUUCGGCAAGGGGGUCAUCCCGACUUACCAACCCGAUGCAAACUGCGAAUACCGGAGAAUGUUAUCACGGGAGACACACGGCGGGUGCUAACGUCCGUCGUGAAGAGGGAAACAACCCAGACCGCCAGCUAAGGUCCCAAAGUCAUGGUUAAGUGGGAAACGAUGUGGGAAGGCCCAGACAGCCAGGAUGUUGGCUUAGAAGCAGCCAUCAUUUAAAGAAAGCGUAAUAGCUCACUGGUCGAGUCGGCCUGCGCGGAAGAUGUAACGGGGCUAAACCAUGCACCGAAGCUGCGGCAGCGACGCUUAUGCGUUGUUGGGUAGGGGAGCGUUCUGUAAGCCUGCGAAGGUGUACUGUGAGGUAUGCUGGAGGUAUCAGAAGUGCGAAUGCUGACAUAAGUAACGAUAAAGCGGGUGAAAAGCCCGCUCGCCGGAAGACCAAGGGUUCCUGUCCAACGUUAAUCGGGGCAGGGUGAGUCGACCCCUAAGGCGAGGCCGAAAGGCGUAGUCGAUGGGAAACAGGUUAAUAUUCCUGUACUUGGUGUUACUGCGAAGGGGGGACGGAGAAGGCUAUGUUGGCCGGGCGACGGUUGUCCCGGUUUAAGCGUGUAGGCUGGUUUUCCAGGCAAAUCCGGAAAAUCAAGGCUGAGGCGUGAUGACGAGGCACUACGGUGCUGAAGCAACAAAUGCCCUGCUUCCAGGAAAAGCCUCUAAGCAUCAGGUAACAUCAAAUCGUACCCCAAACCGACACAGGUGGUCAGGUAGAGAAUACCAAGGCGCUUGAGAGAACUCGGGUGAAGGAACUAGGCAAAAUGGUGCCGUAACUUCGGGAGAAGGCACGCUGAUAUGUAGGUGAAGUCCCUCGCGGAUGGAGCUGAAAUCAGUCGAAGAUACCAGCUGGCUGCAACUGUUUAUUAAAAACACAGCACUGUGCAAACACGAAAGUGGACGUAUACGGUGUGACGCCUGCCCGGUGCCGGAAGGUUAAUUGAUGGGGUUAGCGGUAACGCGAAGCUCUUGAUCGAAGCCCCGGUAAACGGCGGCCGUAACUAUAACGGUCCUAAGGUAGCGAAAUUCCUUGUCGGGUAAGUUCCGACCUGCACGAAUGGCGUAAUGAUGGCCAGGCUGUCUCCACCCGAGACUCAGUGAAAUUGAACUCGCUGUGAAGAUGCAGUGUACCCGCGGCAAGACGGAAAGACCCCGUGAACCUUUACUAUAGCUUGACACUGAACAUUGAGCCUUGAUGUGUAGGAUAGGUGGGAGGCUUUGAAGUGUGGACGCCAGUCUGCAUGGAGCCGACCUUGAAAUACCACCCUUUAAUGUUUGAUGUUCUAACGUUGGCCCCUAAUCGGGGUUGCGGACAGUGUCUGGUGGGUAGUUUGACUGGGGCGGUCUCCUCCUAAAGAGUAACGGAGGAGCACGAAGGUUGGCUAAUCCUGGUCGGACAUCAGGAGGUUAGUGCAAUGGCAUAAGCCAGCUUGACUGCGAGCGUGACGGCGCGAGCAGGUGCGAAAGCAGGUCAUAGUGAUCCGGUGGUUCUGAAUGGAAGGGCCAUCGCUCAACGGAUAAAAGGUACUCCGGGGAUAACAGGCUGAUACCGCCCAAGAGUUCAUAUCGACGGCGGUGUUUGGCACCUCGAUGUCGGCUCAUCACAUCCUGGGGCUGAAGUAGGUCCCAAGGGUAUGGCUGUUCGCCAUUUAAAGUGGUACGCGAGCUGGGUUUAGAACGUCGUGAGACAGUUCGGUCCCUAUCUGCCGUGGGCGCUGGAGAACUGAGGGGGGCUGCUCCUAGUACGAGAGGACCGGAGUGGACGCAUCACUGGUGUUCGGGUUGUCAUGCCAAUGGCACUGCCCGGUAGCUAAAUGCGGAAGAGAUAAGUGCUGAAAGCAUCUAAGCACGAAACUUGCCCCGAGAUGAGUUCUCCCUGACUCCUUGAGAGUCCUGAAGGAACGUUGAAGACGACGACGUUGAUAGGCCGGGUGUGUAAGCGCAGCGAUGCGUUGAGCUAACCGGUACUAAUGAACCGUGAGGCUUAACCUU
RNAcentral lists this ribosomal RNA (2906 nucleotides) under Escherichia coli. Its description in RNAcentral is "23S ribosomal RNA". It matches the Rfam family "Bacterial large subunit ribosomal RNA". Lineage: Bacteria; Pseudomonadati; Pseudomonadota; Gammaproteobacteria; Enterobacterales; Enterobacteriaceae. The record is from RNAcentral.